RNAcentral lists this ribosomal RNA (430 nucleotides) under Bacteroidota bacterium. RNAcentral's name for it is "Bacteroidetes bacterium partial 16S ribosomal RNA". It matches the Rfam family "Bacterial small subunit ribosomal RNA", at positions 355 to 776 of the family's 1533-position model. The record is from RNAcentral. Lineage: Bacteria; Pseudomonadati; Bacteroidota.
UAGGGAAUCUUCGGCAAUGGGGGGAACCCUGACCGAGCAACGCCGCGUGAGUGAAGAAGGUUUUCGGAUCGUAAAGCUCUGUUGUUAAGGAAGAACGAGUGUGAGAAUGGAAAGUUCAUGCUGUGACGGUACUUAACCAGAAAGGGACGGCUAACUACGUGCCAGCAGCCGCGGUAAUACGUAGGUCCCGAGCGUUGUCCGGAUUUAUUGGGCGUAAAGCGAGCGCAGGCGGUUAGAAAAGUCUGAUGUGAAAGCCCCCGGCUCAACCGGGGAGGGUCAUUGGAAACUGGUUGACUUGAGUGCAGAAGAGGAGAGUGGAAUUCCAUGUGUAGCGGUGAAAUGCGUAGAUAUAUGGAGGAACACCAGUGGCGAAGGCGACUCUCUGGUCUGUAACUGACGCUGAGGUUCGAAAGCGUGGGUAGCAAACAGG